UGGAAGCCCACCGCGGCAAACUUGCUGGCGCAAUAAUCCUGUCUCAGGUGGAAGAAACGCAGCCGUUUAUGCCAGAUUUGUUUUGAAAAGCAGCAUAAAUAGCUGUGUGAUGUUGGAAGUUGUGUUGCAGAUAGUCCUUCAGUCCCGGUUUACCUCGACGCAGCCCGUGCUGAAGAGGCCCAGCACGCUGGCGAUGGUCACGAUGUGGCCGUGAUCCUUGGCCUUCAUCUGAGGCAGGAAGGCCUUCACUGUCUGGUACACACACGGCAAUGUAGAGUCCCGGCUCUUAUUACCAGCGGUGGCCAUGGCAACGCUAGGAAGAAGUGACACAUCCCCGAUGGCGACGACACAAUUGGCUUCCCCAGUUGCACGCUAUGGGAAACCCCCAAUGUCGACGUGCAGGGAGGAUGA
Syngnathoides biaculeatus (alligator pipefish) is the source of this 411-nucleotide long non-coding RNA. RefSeq lists it as uncharacterized. Lineage: Eukaryota; Metazoa; Chordata; Actinopteri; Syngnathiformes; Syngnathidae. The transcript is spliced from 3 exons. The record is from RefSeq and is a predicted model, not a curated record.